Molecule: ribosomal RNA, 500 nt
Filed under: uncultured bacterium
Lineage: Bacteria
Description: partial 16S ribosomal RNA
Rfam family: Bacterial small subunit ribosomal RNA
Source: RNAcentral
AUUGAACGCCGGCGGAAUGCUUUACACAUGCAAGUCGAACGGCAGCACGGGGGCAACCCUGGUGGCGAGUGGCGAACGGGUGAGUAAUACAUCGGAACGUGCCCAGUCGUGGGGGAUAACGUAGCGAAAGUUACGCUAAUACCGCAUACGAUCUACGGAUGAAAGCGGGGGACCGUAAGGCCUCGCGCGAUUGGAGCGGCCGAUGUUAGAUUAGGUAGUUGGUGAGGUAAAGGCUCACCAAGCCGACGAUCUGUAGCUGGUCUGAGAGGACGACCAGCCACACUGGGACUGAGACACGGCCCAGACUCCUACGGGAGGCAGCAGUGGGGAAUUUUGGACAAUGGGCGCAAGCCUGAUCCAGCCAUUCCGCGUGCAGGACGAAGGCCUUCGGGUUGUAAACUGCUUUUGUACGGAACGAAAAGGCUCUGGUUAAUACCCGGGGCUCAUGACGGUACCGUAAGAAUAAGCACCGGCUAACUACGUGCCAGCCGCCGUAAAAC